UGAGGUCAGGCACCCAGGGGUAUAUAAACCCAGUGGGUUUGGAUCCAGUUUAUACAGCUGACUGGAACAUUGUGUACUACAGAGAGGCAUUGCGACAGUCAUUUAUAUUGACUCUUUGUCAAAACAAUUCUGGCCCAAUUCUGGGAAUUAAUUGUCUUAUAAACCUCUGAAUAAGCGAAGUGAUAAUCCAUGAGGUGAAUAUUAUCCAAUACCGCUCUGGUAAAUUGUCCACUUAUAGAAGAUUUAUAUGCUGAUUAUCUGUUUUGAAGUC
Long non-coding RNA from Pseudophryne corroboree (corroboree frog), 271 nucleotides. RefSeq lists it as uncharacterized. The record is from RefSeq and is a predicted model, not a curated record. Lineage: Eukaryota; Metazoa; Chordata; Amphibia; Anura; Myobatrachidae. The transcript has 3 exons.